UUGAGUUAGGGCCUGUAACAGGAGAAGGAGACCCCUCCCCCCCAAGGCAGCAGAGUAGGGGAGGGAAAUCCUGAGAGAGGGCAUCCAACAAUCAGGGAGAUCCCUAAGGGAGGCUGCUGGACUCUAUAGAGAAUGGCAGCACUAGGGGAAUUCUGCUGAAGAAGAGGCAAGACAGCAAAGCUCUGCAGGGACCAGGAGAAGGGGCUGAGAAGCAGAUGAAUUUAGUGGUGCCAGAGAGGGGCUGCUAGUUUGGUAAUGUCACAAUUUGGAACAGAAGUGAGUCUCGUGUCACACAUGCACUGGAUCAUGGCAUCAACUAAAUGAAUCUGGCAGGAGAAGAGUGAAGGAGAAAAGUUCUGUUUCUACAUGGAUACCAUGUUAAGCAGUUAUGAAGGACAAAGACGUAUAGACAAACACAUGACAGGUGUCUGAAAAAAAGAUGGAGACGUGGCCAGAGGGUAAAAUAUUCAUCUCCACCUAAGGCAGAGAUCCAUAUCAUGCCAUUCAUUUUAAAGCCGAUUUCCCAUUUAUGUCAGUGUCCUGCUUAAAAAUCAAUGGCACAGUACAGCCUGGUAUUGUCAGUGUAUUGAGGUAGCCAAAUCACCAGUGGGUGUGGUUCUGUGUCCUUUUGAUUUUUUUUUCUCAGUUUGUAAUGCAGUGCACAGCACUGGGCUACACAGUGUCACAGCACAUUAAAUCACUUCACAUCUGACGUGAUGCAACUUGACAUAACAUGUAUGGAGGGUUGGAAGAAUGCUAUCUUUAUGACUGUGGGCUUUCAACACCCAAGCUACGAAGCCUAGGCAGCCAGAUGGAGAUUCAGGGAGUCAGUGAAUAGAGGUUUGUUUGUUUUUGUUUUUUUAAGGCAGAUUACAUUCUGGCAUAUUUUCUAUAAAGGAAAAAUCCCUCUUUUCAAAGGCCAAUUUUCACAAAUAAGUUUUCAUUUAUUUAAUAUUUUAAGUAAUACUGAGACUUUUAAAAUUCAAAUGUUAAGUCCUUAAAUAUAUUUUGCAUCAUA
This is a long non-coding RNA of Chelonia mydas (Green sea turtle), 1018 nucleotides long. RefSeq lists it as uncharacterized. The transcript is spliced from 3 exons. The record is from RefSeq and is a predicted model, not a curated record. Lineage: Eukaryota; Metazoa; Chordata; Testudines; Cheloniidae.